This 511-nucleotide ribosomal RNA is filed under the name uncultured bacterium. RNAcentral describes it as "bacterial SSU rRNA". It matches the Rfam family "Bacterial small subunit ribosomal RNA", at positions 32 to 518 of the family's 1533-position model. The record is from RNAcentral.
AAUCAACGCUGGCGGCGUGCCUCAGACAUGCAAGUCGAACGCGAAAUCUCCCUUCGGGGAGAAAGUAGUGUGGCGCACGGGUGAGUAACACGUAGGUAAUCUACCUUUGGAUGGGGAAUAACACCGAGAAAUCGGUGCUAAUACCGCAUAAUGCAGCGGCACCUAAUGGUGACAGUUGUUAAAGCGGGGGAUCGCAAGACCUCGCGUCUAAAGAGGAGCCUGCGGCGGAUUAGCUAGUUGGUAAGGUAAUGGCUUACCAAGGCAACGAUCCGUAACCGGCCUGAGAGGGCGGUCGGUCACACUGACACUGACAUACGGGUCAGACUCCUACGGGAGGCAGCAGUCGGGAAUUUGGGCAAUGGGCGAAAGCCUGACCCAGCAACGCCGCGUGAAGGAUGAAAUCCCUCGGGAUGUAAACUUCGCAAGAACGGGAAGAAUAAGCCGGUGCAAAUAUCACCGGCGAUGACGGUACCGUUUGUAAGCUCCGGCUAACUCCGUGCCAGCAGCCGAC